CCCGGGUCUUGUACACACCGCCCGUCACACCAUAGGAGCGGGAUGUACCAGAAGUAGGUAGGCUAACCGCAAGGGGGCCGCUUACCACGGUGCGUUUCGUGACUGGGGUG
This 110-nucleotide ribosomal RNA is filed under the name uncultured bacterium. Its description in RNAcentral is "partial 16S ribosomal RNA". It matches the Rfam family "Bacterial small subunit ribosomal RNA", at positions 1373 to 1482 of the family's 1533-position model. The record is from RNAcentral.